AGGUGUUGUUGUUGUUGUCAUUGUCACUAUUGCCUUUGUCUUUGGACAGUGAUCCAGGAUAAAAGCCAUGAAGCUACAGGUGGAUGAGAGACCAGUUGCAGGAGUGCAAAGACCAACUACGGCCAGAGAGAGUAAUGGUAAAUGUGCCGGGGGAAUAUCUGCAGCACAGCUAUGCUAGGCUUCUGUCUUCACUACAGUGGACAACGGACUCUACAAGGUGUAAGAAUCAUUUUGCCUGGUGGAAGGAUGAUUUGUUGCCUGUAGCUUGUAACAAAGGUCCAUUAUACAGAGAUUAGAGAUUCCCUUGAUGAUACAGAGAUUUCCUGUUUGCAUAGGGC
This 338-nucleotide long non-coding RNA is filed under the name Fukomys damarensis (Damara mole-rat). RNAcentral's name for it is "lncRNA (ENSFDAG00000022463.1)". Lineage: Eukaryota; Metazoa; Chordata; Mammalia; Rodentia; Bathyergidae. The record is from RNAcentral.